Long non-coding RNA from Sebastes umbrosus (honeycomb rockfish), 451 nucleotides. RefSeq lists it as uncharacterized. Lineage: Eukaryota; Metazoa; Chordata; Actinopteri; Perciformes; Sebastidae. The record is from RefSeq and is a predicted model, not a curated record. The transcript is spliced from 3 exons.
CACAGAGGGACAGACUCAAACUCCCAGCAUGCACUGCUCCAUCACCCGUCCACUUCAGUGUUUAUAUCUCCUCACUUUGUUACAUUUGUCUUUACAUACAUAGUGUCUCUAGUGGACAUAGUGUCCUCUAGUGGACAUGGUGUCUCUAGUGGACAUAGUGUCUCUAGUGGACAUGGUGUCCUCUAGUGGACAUAGUGUCUCUAGUGUCUCUAGUAGUGGACAUGUUGUGUCUCACCCUCCUCUGCUGGGAGUCCAUCCAGAACACGUUGGGCUGUUUGUGUCUCUAGUGUCUCUAGUAGAGGACAUAGUGUCUCUAGUGUCCUCUAGAGGACAGUGUGUCUCACCCUCCUCUGCUGGGAGUCCAUCCAGAACACGUUGGGCUGUUUGUGUCGGAGGACGCCGCUUUUAGAGACCAGCAGCCGGUCUCCGCUCCGCCUCAGACCCGGACCAC